CGCCUUUUGAGAAAAUAGAAGGUCUGACCUGCCCCCUGAGUGUUUAAAGGGCCGCGGUAUUUUGACCGUGCAAAGGUAGCAUAAUCAUUAGUCUUCUAAUUAAAGGCUGGAAUGAAUGGUUGGACGAGGUAUUAGCUGUCUCACUAGGAUGGAUUCUGAAUUUAGCCUUUUAGUUAAAAGGCUAAAAUGCAAUUGGAGGACGAGAAGACCCUAUAGAGCUUUACAAUAAACCUUUUUAUUUUGUUUGGAUGGGUUCCAAAUUUAAAGUGGAGUUGUUUUGUUGGGGUGACAGGAAGAUAAGAGUAACUCUUUUUAUUUAAAUUCACUGAUGAGUGAAUAAUUGAUCCAUAAUUUAUGAUUAUAAGAUUAAGUUACCUUAGGGAUAACAGCGUAAUCUUUUUUGAGAGUUCUAAUCGACGAAAAGGGUUGCGACCUCGAUGUUGGACUAAGGAUUAUUUUUGGGUGUAGCAGCUUAAAGUUUGGGUCUGUUCGACCUUUGAAUCCUUACAU
This 510-nucleotide ribosomal RNA is filed under the name Afronurus sp. 213BoAf. RNAcentral describes it as "partial 16S ribosomal RNA". It matches the Rfam family "Bacterial large subunit ribosomal RNA", at positions 1830 to 2601 of the family's 2925-position model. The record is from RNAcentral. Lineage: Eukaryota; Metazoa; Arthropoda; Insecta; Ephemeroptera; Heptageniidae.